CUACGGAGGGUGCAAGCGUUAUCCGGAAUCAUUGGGUUUAAAGGGUCCGUAGGCGGACUAUUAAGUCAGAGGUGAAAUCCCACAGCUCAACUGUGGAACUGCCUUUGAUACUGGUAGUCUUGAGUUAUAUGGAAGUAGAUAGAAUGUGUAGUGUAGCGGUGAAAUGCAUAGAUAUUACACAGAAUACCGAUUGCGAAGGCAGUCUACUACGUAUAUACUGACGCUAAGGGACGAAAGCGUGGGGAGCGAACAGGAUUAGAUACCCGAGUAGUCC
Molecule: ribosomal RNA, 274 nt
Filed under: uncultured bacterium
Lineage: Bacteria
Description: partial 16S ribosomal RNA
Rfam family: Bacterial small subunit ribosomal RNA
Source: RNAcentral